RNAcentral lists this long non-coding RNA (2270 nucleotides) under Capsicum annuum. RNAcentral's name for it is "long non-coding RNA (CANN_LNC014211)". Lineage: Eukaryota; Viridiplantae; Streptophyta; Magnoliopsida; Solanales; Solanaceae. The record is from RNAcentral.
UCCGAUAAUUCCGGUGUCGCUCCGGUCUACACCGGUACCAAGCGGACCGGUCCGAACAAUGAAAAAAUUUUGGUAAGACCGAUUCUAGCAGCAAAAACGAUAAGGAAGUUCCGAUACCGGUUUCAACAUCGGUUAAACCGGUCUGGCAUUCCGGUUCCAGUUCGUUGCCAGCCCUAGUGCAGACUUCAUGGUCUUUUCUUCUUGAGACUUUCUUUAUUUCAAAAAGUCCUUAUACAAGUUAGAUGCUGGAUGCAGAAAAGUAUUGAUCAACCUAUUUCAUGUACAUGUUCCAAUGCUUUGUCAAUCAUCAAUAUAUAUAUAUAUAUAUAUAUAUAUAUAUGUGCCCAAUAAUUCUGAAUCUGGGGAAAAUUUCAAAGCAAUUUCAAUAUGUCAAAGACCAAACUUGUGUAUGUAAAACGGUGGUAGAAGGAUUUUGGCUCUUGGCUCUUGGAUCACCUAGGAGAAGCCGAACUAGUUCAUUGAAAGUUUCUCCUUGAGCUCAAAAAAGUCCCGAUCAUCGGCCUAGGUUCCUUUCAAACCAACAAAUUAAGACAAAAUCACAACAAUCAUUGAAUGGGUAGAAGUCUUAGCAUAUUCAUGUCAAUACUAAAUGGAUCAAACGGUCAUGACUCUAGCUUAAUAGUUACUAACAUACAACUCCAAAUAAGAACACAUGUUCUUUUUAUUUUAAUAAAAAAUCUAGAGCCGAUCAAGAUAUGCACCUUCGAUCAGCAAGGAACUCAACAAACUCUUACAUUUUUCUUAAACACAAAAUUUAUAAAUAUACAAGAUCAUUGCCAAGUUUCUGUACAACUAACGAAAAACAGAGAAAAUGAUGCAUUGAAAUUUGAUAAAUGCAUGAUCUUCUAAAGCUAAAGUGAUACAAAAAGAAAGAUAUAUUAAGACUUAUGAUGAUUAGGUUUACAUGACUCUAUCCAGAGAACAAACAACAAACAAGAAAAGCAAGCAGAUGACAGUUCCAAAUUCAAACUACACGAAAUUUAAGCUUAAGAGGAAAGAAAUAAAACAAAGGUGAGAAAUAUUUUUUUACUAAUUAUGAAUAGAAGAGGACAAAUCCGCUAGAUGAGAGGUGAAUCUAAGGAAAAUAAGGGAUUAACUAAUUCAUGCUUUAAAUUUCUAAACAUCACUAUAGCAAUAAUAUGACCAAAAGCAGCCAAUUCGCUAACAUACUUAAAUCAAAAUGCAACAACACUAAUUAUAACUUUGAUAGUUUGAAAAAAUGUGAACGUGAGAAAUAUAAUCCUAGUAUGGUUGAAUAUUGACUACACAUUAUCUUAUGUCAAUAACAAGUAAAUGAAGUGCUGAAUUUAAAGAAAUAAGGGAGAAAAGCGAAAAAAAAAAAAAAUCACCUUUAAUGCACAAAACUUAAAACAAAAAAGAAAGCAGCAUACCAUUUUCUUUUUUUUCUUCAAGAUUUUACUAAAUUCAAACACAAAAUCGAACGCAUAUUAAGGUCUAGAUAUAAAGUGAAUGGGAAUUACCUUUUUAGAGCAGCGGACUAAGACGAGAAGUUAUUCGGAAUGAGUUUUCACACACUUGACCCUCUUCGAAUAAAUUUCUUUUUUUGAUUUUCUUCUGAUUUGAGAUUAAUUAAGGAAUAGGAACUAUGAUACUUUUUUGGUUAAGCAAUAGGAAAUUAACACUUCAAAAACCUCUCAAAUUCUCUACCACUUAACCUCUGCCUCAACGGGCGAAUGUAACCCUCACUUUAUAGGUUGAGUUUGUUGUAACAGCUCCUUUAAGAAGCUUCCAACAGAUUCCAAAUUUGAAACAUUAAAAAGAUGGGUCAAGGAGAAAAGAUUAAAAAUGGAGAAAGUUGACAAAGGAGAUAAGGGUUAUCCUAUUUUUUAGAUUGAUUGGAAAGAUGCAUAAAAUUUGAAUGCAAAGACAAAUUUGGUGGUACGAACCUAAUUUGUAGGUCUACAGUUUUUUAUUUCUCCCAGGCUAACGGUGGAGAUGAAGGGACUUUUUCAACCUUGAAAUCACGCCGAGAUAAGCUACUUGAACUCAAAAUCAGGCGAAUUUCUCCCGAGUGGAUGGGGCGAUGACAGAGGUUUGUUGGAGUUUCUCUGGGUGUUUUAGAUGAUGAAGGAGAAGGCGAUCAAGUGUUAGGGGUGUUUAGUGUAAAUUUAGGUUAAUUGUGGUGUCUAAUUGGGUUUAGAUUCAAAACUGUUAAAAGCCAUCCCCUGCUAAUUUAUUGGUUGAAAAAUAAGUUGAAUUGGUCCAAGUUAGCAAACAAAUUAGUUUUG